AGCAGCCGCGGUAAUUCCAGCUCCAAUAGCGUAUAUUAAAGUUGCUGCAGUUAAAAGCUCGUAGUUGAAUUUCGGGACUAAUAUGUCGGUCGUGCCUCGGUACGUACUGGCUUAUUGGUUUCUCCUUUCUGAAGAACCAUGAUGUCAUUUAUUUGGUGUCGUGGGGAAUCAGGACUGUUACUUUGAAAAAUUAGAGUGUUUAAAGCAGGCUCACGCUUGAAUACAUUAGCAUGGAAUAAUGAAAUAGGACGUUUGAUUCUAUUUUGUUGGUUUCUAGGAUCGACGUAAUGAUUAAUAGGGAUAGUUGGGGGCAUUAGUAUUCAAUUGUCAGAGGUGAAAUUUUUGGAUUUAUUGAAGACUAACUACUGCGAAAGCAUUUGCCAAGGAUGUUUUCAUUAAUCAAGAACGAAAGUUAGGGAUCGAAGACGAUCAGAUACCGUCGUAGUCUUAACCAUAAACUAUGCCGACUAGGGAUCGGAUGAUGUUAAUUUUUAAUGACUCAUUCGGCGCCUUACGGGAA
Molecule: unclassified non-coding RNA, 520 nt
Filed under: uncultured Glomus
Lineage: Eukaryota; Fungi; Glomeromycota; Glomeromycetes; Glomerales; Glomeraceae
Description: SSU rRNA
Rfam family: Eukaryotic small subunit ribosomal RNA
Source: RNAcentral